This 429-nucleotide ribosomal RNA is filed under the name uncultured organism. RNAcentral's name for it is "bacterial SSU rRNA". It matches the Rfam family "Bacterial small subunit ribosomal RNA", at positions 56 to 527 of the family's 1533-position model. The record is from RNAcentral.
UGCAGUCGUACGAGAGUUUUUAACUCAAGUGGCGGACGGGUGAGUAACACGUAAGAAUUUGCCUUUAGGAGGGGGACAACAACUGGAAACGGUUGCUAAUACCCCAUAUGCUUUCGAGUGAAACGGUUUUUCCGCCUAAAGAGAAGCUUGCGGCUGAUUAGCUUGUUGGUAAGGUAAUGGCUUACCAAGGCGACGAUCAGUAUCUGGUUUGAGAGGACGAUCAGACACACUGGAACUGAGACACGGUCCAGACUCCUACGGGAGGCAGCAGUGGGGAAUUUUCCGCAAUGGGCGAAAGCCUGACGGAGCAAUACCGCGUGAGGGAUGAAUGCCUAUGGGUUGUAAACCUCCUUUUUUCAGGGAGGAAUCAAUGACGUUACCUGAAGAAUAAGCAUCGGCUAACUCCGUGCCAGCAGCCGCGGUAAUACG